CCUACGGGGGGCAGCAGUGAGGAAUAUUGGUCAAUGGGCGCGAGCCUGAACCAGCCAAGUCGCGUGAAGGAUGACUGCCCUACGGGUUGUAAACUUCUUUUAUAAAGGAAUAAAGUGAGGCACGUGUGCCUUUUUGUAUGUACUUUAUGAAUAAGGAUCGGCUAACUCCGUGCCCGCAGCCGCGGUAAUACGGAGGAUCCGAGCGUUAUCCGGAUUUAAUGGGGUUAAAGGGAGCGUAGAUGGGUUGUUAAGGCAGAUGUGAAAGUUUGUGGCUCAACCAUAAAAAUGCAAUUGAUACUGGCAAACUUGAGUACAGUAGAGGUGGGCGGAAUUCGAGGUGUAGCGGUGAAAUGCGUAGAUAUCACGAAGAACUCCGAUUGCGAAGGCAGCCUACUAAACUGCCACUGACAUUGAUGCUCGAAAGUGUGGGUAUCAAACAGGAUUAGAUACCCGGGUAGUC
This 460-nucleotide ribosomal RNA is filed under the name uncultured bacterium. Its description in RNAcentral is "partial 16S ribosomal RNA". It matches the Rfam family "Bacterial small subunit ribosomal RNA", at positions 338 to 795 of the family's 1533-position model. The record is from RNAcentral.